UGGGGAAUAUUGGGCAAUGGAGGAAACUCUGACCCAGCGACGCCGCGUGCGGGAUGAAGGCCUUCGGGUUGUAAACCGCUUUCAGUAGGGAAGAAGCGAAAGUGACGGUACCUACAAAAGAAGCACCGGCUAACUAUGUGCCAGCAGCCGCGGUAAUACAUAGGGUGCAAGCGUUGUCCGGAAUUAUUGGGCGUAAAGCGUGCGCAGGCGGUUAUAUAAGACAGAUGUGAAAUCCCCGGGCUCAACCUGGGAACUGCGUUUGUGACUGUAUAACUUGAGUGUGGCAGAGGGGGGUGGAAUUCCCAGUGUAGAGGUGAAAUUCGUAAAUAUUGGGAAGAACACCGGUGGCGAAGGCGGCUCACUGGACCGACACUGACGCUGAGGCGCGAAAGCGUGGGGAGCAAACAGG
RNAcentral lists this ribosomal RNA (409 nucleotides) under uncultured bacterium. Its description in RNAcentral is "bacterial SSU rRNA". It matches the Rfam family "Bacterial small subunit ribosomal RNA", at positions 355 to 776 of the family's 1533-position model. The record is from RNAcentral.